This 84-nucleotide transfer RNA is filed under the name Weissella thailandensis. RNAcentral describes it as "tRNA-Leu". It matches the Rfam family "tRNA". Rfam says of the family: Transfer RNA (tRNA) molecules are approximately 80 nucleotides in length. The record is from RNAcentral. Lineage: Bacteria; Bacillati; Bacillota; Bacilli; Lactobacillales; Lactobacillaceae.
GCCGUCGUGGCGGAACUGGCAGACGUGCACCGUUCAGGUCGGUGUGAGAUUUAUCUCGUGCAGGUUCGAUUCCUGUCGACGGCA